Long non-coding RNA from Syngnathus typhle (broad-nosed pipefish), 867 nucleotides. RefSeq lists it as uncharacterized. The record is from RefSeq and is a predicted model, not a curated record. NCBI's taxonomy places the organism in Eukaryota, Metazoa, Chordata, Actinopteri, Syngnathiformes, Syngnathidae. The transcript has 4 exons.
GGGCAGCGGUCAGGGGCAUCUCCCCGCCACUCCCUGCAAGUGGAUUUGGAUGCUCGGGUUCUGCUAUGUGACUGACUUAGCCCUCCCAGCUUUUGUCUCUUCUUCGUAGCCAGAGCCAGAAGCUCCCUCUCUCUGCUUCUUUGGAGAGGUCUUUCUGGGCUUUUCUGAUUCCGAGAAGCCGAUGAUGUAUUUUAGGAAGCGCUUGGUUGAAAGCCCCACAAAUCCACGGCAGCCAACCUCCACUGGCCUGUGUUUACAUCACUGAGUCGUUGCUGUGGUAACAGGCCAAACCUCACAAUCAGCGGUGGCUACAAAGUGCAGAGAUCUUUUUUUUUCCUAUUGCUCACGUCAUAAAAGGUGCUUCUGAAACUCAACCGGCAGGUAAACAAGCUCCCACUGCCUGAUAUCAUGCAAACAACAUAAAAUAUCCCAAAGGAGACGUGAGAUCACCCACGCUGGGAUGCUGCCAGACAAAUUUCCAACAGCUCAUCGACCCUCGUCAACACAAGUCUACUUAUAGAAUGUCGACUUUAGACAGUGGUGGAAUGCACUCUGUCUACAACACCUUUCCUUUUCACAAUGUAUAUUUUUCAUGUCUUAAGAGUAAAUUACACUACAAUGAACCCUGAAGCCAAGUAUAUAGUUUUUUGAAAAAUACAUUUUUGCACAAGAACAUUAAGGGCAAAAUGGGCUGAGUGUUGUUGCUUUCCUGGUAUCAUCAAUUAUAGCAUCCAACUACUUUUUCUGAUGGCAUCCCCUACACUGCUGCGACGUAUUAGUUUUUCCAAAACCAGCUGUCAGGUUUCCCAAACUGGUAGUUUUAUUAUAUAAAUCUCUAUUGCUGCAUACAUUUAUUAUUGUCACAGG